This 724-nucleotide ribosomal RNA is filed under the name Campylobacter jejuni. Its description in RNAcentral is "partial 23S ribosomal RNA". It matches the Rfam family "Bacterial large subunit ribosomal RNA", at positions 451 to 1172 of the family's 2925-position model. Lineage: Bacteria; Pseudomonadati; Campylobacterota; Epsilonproteobacteria; Campylobacterales; Campylobacteraceae. The record is from RNAcentral.
GACCACGAUCCAACCCUAAAUACUAAUACCAGAUCGAUAGUGCACAAGUACCGUGAGGGAAAGGUGAAAAGAACUGAGGUGAUCAGAGUGAAAUAGAACCUGAAACCAUUUGCUUACAAUCAUUCAGAGCCCUAUGUAGCAAUACAGGGUGAUGGACUGCCUUUUGCAUAAUGAGCCUGCGAGUUGUGGUGUCUGGCAAGGUUAAGCAAACGCGAAGCCGUAGCGAAAGCGAGUCUGAAUAGGGCGCUUAGUCAGAUGCUGCAGACCCGAAACGAAGUGAUCUAUCCAUGAGCAAGUUGAAGCUAGUGUAAGAACUAGUGGAGGACUGAACCCAUAGGCGUUGAAAAGCCCCGGGAUGACUUGUGGAUAGGGGUGAAAGGCCAAUCAAACUUCGUGAUAGCUGGUUCUCUCCGAAAUAUAUUUAGGUAUAGCGUUGUGUCGUAAUAUAAGGGGGUAGAGCACUGAAUGGGCUAGGGCAUACACCAAUGUACCAAACCCUAUCAAACUCCGAAUACCUUAUAUGUAAUCACAGCAGUCAGGCGGCGAGUGAUAAAAUCCGUCGUCAAGAGGGAAACAACCCAGACUACCAGCUAAGGUCCCUAAAUCUUACUUAAGUGGAAAACGAUGUGAAGUUACUUAAACAACCAGGAGGUUGGCUUAGAAGCAGCCAUCCUUUAAAGAAAGCGUAAUAGCUCACUGGUCUAGUGAUUUUGCGCGGAAAAUA